RNAcentral lists this unclassified non-coding RNA (310 nucleotides) under plant metagenome. Its description in RNAcentral is "partial contains 5.8S ribosomal RNA, internal transcribed spacer 2, and large subunit ribosomal RNA". The stretch from base 1 to 105 matches the Rfam family "5.8S ribosomal RNA", at positions 50 to 154 of the family's 154-position model. The record is from RNAcentral.
GAAAUGCGAUAAGUAGUGUGAAUUGCAGAAUUCAGUGAAUCAUCGAAUCUUUCAACGCACAUUGCGCCCCUCGGUAUUCCGUGGGGCAUGCCUGUUCGAGCGUCAUCUACACCCUCAAGCUCUGCUUGGUGUUGGGCGUCUGUCCCGCCUCCUUCGCGCGCGGACUCGCCCCAAAUCCAUUGGCGGCGGCCCUUGCCUCCCUCUCGCGCAGCACAUUGCGCUUCUCGAGGCGCGGCGGACCGCGUCCAGCAAGCAACCGUCACACCGUCUUUGACCUCGGAUCAGGUAGGGAUACCCGCUGAACUUAAGC